GUGGUUCAAAUAAUUGAAAGAAUUUUUGAAAGCUAAUAGAUUGAAGUUUUAAAAUGAAUAUGAAAAUAAUUUUUAAUUGCAUUGAACUAUAAAAAAUAGGUAAAAUAAAUAAAAAUCUAAUAUUAAAAAAAAUUUACUUUUCAAAUAAUUAAAAUUAAUUUUUCAUAAAAAGCAAAUUACCCCUAAACUAUCUCAUAUUCAUACUCCUAUUUAAUUUCAAAUUACGUUUCCAAUUUUUUUCUAAAUACUCCUCUUUUCCUCCUCCACCCUUCCUUACACAAACAACCCGGACCACCGCUUACAAACAAACCUCCAUAACCACCGCUUCCUCCGCCACCGUUGGGCUUCUCCGUCCGGCCGUCUCGUCAUCGGGGAGUUUCUUCAUAUUCCGGUCCUCAGAGACGUGGAUCAUUCCCCCUCCUCAUCCGUGUUUAUGGACUGGCGUGCCGUGGCUGUUUCCGGGGAGGCGCCGGUGCCGGAGAGUUCGGGCACAACGACGUUAUUUGGGAUUGUGCGAGGUGGCGGCAGACGUGGGUUGUCCAUUGAUUUGUGUUCUGACUUCUGAGAGAACGGUAAGAGAGAUCCGAGGGCAACUGGGUUUUUUGAGAAAGGCGGAUGGUGAUCUAAAGAAGGCAAAGAUCAAGUUCAAGAACACUGGGUUUUGAGAAAGGCGGAUGAAGAUGGGAUUUUUGGGGUAGAUGGGAUGGUAUCAAUGUGGGACAUUGGGUUUUGAGAAAGAUUCUGACAUUUGGUUUUUUUUUUUUACUCUUUUUCUAAGAUUGUUGUCGGAGAAUGUGAUACUAAAGAUAAAAAAGAGAGGAAAAGAAGAAUGGUGUCUAGUAAAAAAGGCCAAUUUAGUUAUUUGAAUUUAAUUUUAUAUUUUAUAAUGUAAUGUCAUUUUUUUUUUUAAUAAUUGUGCAUUGGCCUCCAACAACUAAUCAUAAAAGGGAACCGAGGGAG
This 960-nucleotide long non-coding RNA is filed under the name Panax ginseng (ginseng). Its description in RNAcentral is "long non-coding RNA (PGIN_LNC016656)". Lineage: Eukaryota; Viridiplantae; Streptophyta; Magnoliopsida; Apiales; Araliaceae. The record is from RNAcentral.